This 792-nucleotide long non-coding RNA is filed under the name Daucus carota (carrot). Its description in RNAcentral is "long non-coding RNA (DCAR_LNC002294)". Lineage: Eukaryota; Viridiplantae; Streptophyta; Magnoliopsida; Apiales; Apiaceae. The record is from RNAcentral.
UUUUCAUGAGAGUUGGUACUUAUUGUGUGCCUUUGGACACACAUUCAUGUGCGUGAACACAAUAAUAUAAGGGAGUCGUCUCGGUAUCACAAUUCACAAGUAAUUUACAAGAAAGAUGUAGUCGUCAUUCUAGGAGAAGCUUUUCUUCUCUCUCCACCGAGAUGAGUGAGCUAAAUUAGUUCCCUUGAGUUCUCUAUAUCUUCAUUCCCGGUCAACCAAAACAAGUCAUUAUGCUUUGGCUACCGGUGAUUGUGGAGCAUAUAUAAUGUCUUCCUGCUCUCUCUUUCUCAGAUCACAAGAGCUAGGGAUGAUCAAUUUUGUUCAUAACAGCAUACUGUGCUGCCGUGUCGGGGAAUCAAGCGUACUGGUCCGAUGUAUAUAUGUAUGUAUUUAUAUAUGUUGUUUGCUGCCUGCAGCUUCUACUUUACUUCCGAAUUCAUGCAUGAUGCAUGAUUUUGUUUAUUGCUAGCCUUUUUGCCUUGACAUUAAGGCCUACCUUAUUUUAGUUUCGGAUGAUCCUCAAAGUCGUACCACAUCCAAAUAUCGACUUCACAGAUCUUUACUAUUUGCUGUAUAUAUAUUUUACAAGCGAGAUGAUUCUAUGCGUGUGCGCGCAGUACUCUCUUUUGAAGAAAAAACAUGUUUGCUAUUAUUCACAUUGACAGAUAGGAAGAAAAGCCCAUAUGCCGAUAAUGAAGAACCAUAAGAUUGAAUUAUUAGAUAGAAUAUAAUAUGAUCAUAAUAAAUCCUAACACCCUGAACCGGAAAAUUGAUCAUUUAAUAUUAAGCCCG